Molecule: ribosomal RNA, 526 nt
Filed under: Streptomyces sp. 306H06
Lineage: Bacteria; Bacillati; Actinomycetota; Actinomycetes; Kitasatosporales; Streptomycetaceae
Description: bacterial SSU rRNA
Rfam family: Bacterial small subunit ribosomal RNA
Source: RNAcentral
UAGUGGCGAACGGGUGAGUAACACGUGGGCAAUCUGCCCUUCACUCUGGGACAAGCCCUGGAAACGGGGUCUAAUACCGGAUAACACUCUGUCCCGCAUGGGACGGGGUUGAAAGCUCCGGCGGUGAAGGAUGAGCCCGCGGCCUAUCAGCUUGUUGGUGGGGUGAUGGCCUACCAAGGCGACGACGGGUAGCCGGCCUGAGAGGGCGACCGGCCACACUGGGACUGAGACACGGCCCAGACUCCUACGGGAGGCAGCAGUGGGGAAUAUUGCACAAUGGGCGAAAGCCUGAUGCAGCGACGCCGCGUGAGGGAUGACGGCCUUCGGGUUGUAAACCUCUUUCAGCAGGGAAGAAGCGAGAGUGACGGUACCUGCAGAAGAAGCGCCGGCUAACUACGUGCCAGCAGCCGCGGUAAUACGUAGGGCGCAAGCGUUGUCCGGAAUUAUUGGGCGUAAAGAGCUCGUAGGCGGCUUGUUGCGUCGGUUGUGAAAGCCCGGGGCUUAACCCCGGGUCUGCAGUCGAUAC